This 1889-nucleotide long non-coding RNA is filed under the name Helianthus annuus (common sunflower). The record is from RNAcentral. Lineage: Eukaryota; Viridiplantae; Streptophyta; Magnoliopsida; Asterales; Asteraceae.
CAAACCCUAAUUUCAUUUUCUAUCAGCUUCCUCUCCCAUCGAAACUACUAUAGAUCUUCCGAUUAAAUUCGUGCAGCAGUUGAGCAAUCCUUCAUUGCUGAUUUUCCCUUUUGAUUCAAGUUUCUACCAUUCGAUUCAUGGCAGUUUGAUGAUAUGGAUUUUAUUUCAUCGCCAUUGAAGACGAGGCUCUUCUGAUGAUUAUGUUCAAGCCAAGAAAACCCUAACAUCCAUCUCUUUCGGCAUUCCCUUUCAUCGAUCUACCAGAGAAUCAUUAUCAAUAGCGGAGAUUCUUUCUUUUCUAAAACCCUAGAUAUGAAAUUCAUUUUCUUUCUGAUCUACUCAUCUUCGAUCCAGAAUAUUCAAACUUCAAUCAUCAGAGAGGUUAACUAGAGAUAUAGGGAGAGAGAGAGAGAAGAAUGGGAGUCAGCCACUUUAUGGACCCAGUUAAUCACUUCACAGCAGGUAACAUUCAGGUAUUUCAUUGUUCAGAUUUAAAACAUGUUUUGAAUAUGUGUGUUUACAUGCACACGAAUGGAGAUUACAUUAUGUUUUGGUUUUGAUUCGUGUUAGUUAGGUAAUACCCCAACUUUUCAUUCUACUGAUUUGACCCGUUAUGGCUUCAAGUUUGGUGUGUGGGUUUUAGGGUGUUGCCACAUAUUUGAAGAUGUGUUGGUUUCUUAGAUUCAAGAAAAAAAAAUUCACUGCAUGUAUGUUUUUAAAUAAUUAUUUUAUGAUACCAUAUAGAUGUCCUAAGUUUUUCCGGCCGAAGAAAAGCAUAAGGUAAAACAAACAUCAUUUCAAAACAAUAUAAAAUUGAAUGGUUCAAGAAACUUUAUACUGAUUGUUGAUUGCAGUUGUUUUGUAGAAUUAAGAAUGAUAUGUUCCAGUCAAACAGUCCUCGAGACUGCAUCAGCUAUGCAAGUUACCAUUCUAAGAGAUUGGUGAACAAAUGUGCUUUGUGGUUUUGCAUCUUUUCAAAUUGAAGAUUGGAGGUGAUAAGUGGUGAUUCGGUUUAGGUGUCUUUAGAAGCGUCAGAAUUGAAUAUUCCAGGAAUCUAUUUGAUCCAUGACUUUGUUUCAGCUCAAGAAGAGGAGCAACUGAUUGCUGCAGUUGAUGCAAGGCCUUGGCAUAGUCUUGCAAAAAGAAGGGUUCAACAUUACGGCUAUGAAUUUUGCUAGCAUAAUGGGUGAGUGGAUGACCAUAAUUCAAGAAUCCAAUAUGCUCAUCGUAUGACGCUCUUAUCAGAUCUAAUCUACAAGUGCGGCUGCUGUGUUUGAGUUGUUUUUGAAAUUGAAUAAUGACGUCACGAGACGGUAGACCCCGGGGAACCUUUGAGCGUUGAUAUUUGAUAGUGAUGUGGUUUGGGGCAGAGCAAGAGCAGCCUGUGUUUAAAUGGCUAGGGGUACUUUUACCAAUAUCCACCAUGUUAACAAGCUCUUAAAUGAAGAAGUUGGCCCAAAGACCAUGCAUAUGCCAACUGUAGAGAAACUAUCCGUGUUCGAUGCAUCAUCAGUAACUUUACUGGGGAUACUUUUAACCGGGGCACCUGGCACAGGCAAAACUCUACUUGCCAAGGCUAUUGCUGGAGAAGCUAAGGUUCCUUUUUUCUAUAGAGCAGGUUCCGAGUAGGAAGAAAUGUUUGUUGGUGUUGGUGCUCGAAGAGUGAGAUCCUUAUUCCACGCAACAAAGAAGAAGCUUUAUACUUUCAUCUAUUGCAUUUAUGGUUUUAAUUAUAGAUUUCCAAGUUGUUAAUUAUUACUAUUUUUUUGAAUUUGUUAGGCUUCAUGCAUAAAAAGAUUUAAGGGUGUGUUGAUGACUAUUGAACCCUUGCUUUUGAUUGUAAUUUAAAUUUUCCUACCCGGGUAUCUACCCGGGGAAUAACCUAGUCA